GGUGUGCAAUAGACUUACCUCCACGUGGUGCACACUGGGCAACGUAUACUCAUUCGGCAAAAAGGUCUAU
RNAcentral lists this ribozyme (70 nucleotides) under Rodentolepis nana. RNAcentral describes it as "Hymenolepis nana HDV ribozyme from F. prausnitzii". It matches the Rfam family "HDV ribozyme from F. prausnitzii". The record is from Rfam by way of RNAcentral. Lineage: Eukaryota; Metazoa; Platyhelminthes; Cestoda; Cyclophyllidea; Hymenolepididae.